GGGGAAUAUUGCACAAUGGGGGAAACCCUGAUGCAGCGACGCCGCGUGGAGGAAGAAGGUCUUCGGAUUGUAAACUCCUGUUGUUGAGGAAGAUAAUGACGGUACUCAACAAGGAAGUGACGGCUAACUACGUGCCAGCAGCCGCGGUAAAACGUAGGUCACAAGCGUUGUCCGGAAUUACUGGGUGUAAAGGGAGCGCAGGCGGGAGAACAAGUUGGAAGUGAAAUCCAUGGGCUCAACCCAUGAACUGCUUUCAAAACUGUUUUUCUUGAGUAGUGCAGAGGUAGGCGGAAUUCCCGGUGUAGCGGUGGAAUGCGUAGAUAUCGGGAGGAACACCAGUGGCGAAGGCGGCCUACUAGGCACCAACUGACGCUGAGGCUCGAAAGUGUGGGUAGCAAACAGGAUUAGAUACCCUGGUAGUCCACACCGUAAACGAUGAUUACUAGGUGUUGGAGGAUUGACCCCUUCAGUGCCGCAGUUAACACAAUAAGUAAUCCACCUGGGGAGUACGACCGCAAGGUUGAAACUCAAAGGAAUUGACGGGGGCCCGCACAAGCAGUGGAGUAUGUGGUUUAAUUCGACGCAACGCGAAGAACCUUACCAAGUCUUGACAUCCCUUGACAGACAUAGAAAUAUGUUUUCUCUUCGGAGCAAGGAGACAGGUGGUGCAUGGUUGUCGUCAGCUCGUGUCGUGAGAUGUUGGGUUAAGUCCCGCAACGAGCGCAACCCUUAUGGUCAGUUACUACGCAAGAGGACUCUGGCCAGACUGCCGUUGACAAAACGGAGGAAGGUGGGGAUGACGUCAAAUCAUCAUGCCCUUUAUGACUUGGGCUACACACGUACUACAAUGGCGUUAAACAAAGAGAAGCAAGACCGCGAGGUGGAGCAAAACUCAGAAACAACGUCCCAGUUCGGACUGCAGGCUGCAACUCGCCUGCACGAAGUCGGAAUUGCUAGUAAUCGUGGAUCAGCAUGCCACGGUGAAUACGUUCCCG
This 995-nucleotide ribosomal RNA is filed under the name uncultured bacterium. RNAcentral describes it as "bacterial SSU rRNA". It matches the Rfam family "Bacterial small subunit ribosomal RNA", at positions 356 to 1376 of the family's 1533-position model. The record is from RNAcentral.